GACUCAAUAGCUCAGUGGUAGAGCAUACGAUUGCAGAUCGUGUUGCCCCGUGUUCGAACCACGGUUGGGUCU
Molecule: transfer RNA, 72 nt
Organism: Cylindrobasidium torrendii FP15055 ss-10
Lineage: Eukaryota; Fungi; Basidiomycota; Agaricomycetes; Agaricales; Physalacriaceae
Rfam family: tRNA
About the family: Transfer RNA (tRNA) molecules are approximately 80 nucleotides in length. Their secondary structure includes four short double-helical elements and three loops (D, anti-codon, and T loops). Further hydrogen bonds mediate the characteristic L-shaped molecular structure. tRNAs have two regions of fundamental functional importance: the anti-codon, which is responsible for specific mRNA codon recognition, and the 3' end, to which the tRNAs corresponding amino acid is attached (by aminoacyl-tRNA synthetases). tRNAs cope with the degeneracy of the genetic code in two manners: having more than one tRNA (with a specific anti-codon) for a particular amino acid; and 'wobble' base-pairing, i.e. permitting non-standard base-pairing at the 3rd anti-codon position.
Source: Rfam